This 207-nucleotide long non-coding RNA is filed under the name Lathyrus oleraceus (garden pea). Its description in RNAcentral is "Pisum sativum (pea) long non-coding RNA (PSAT_LNC022827)". Lineage: Eukaryota; Viridiplantae; Streptophyta; Magnoliopsida; Fabales; Fabaceae. The record is from RNAcentral.
CGAUACAGAGGAUCAUAAAACUGCACCAGAGUACCCAUCAAUCCUUCAUCCACCUGAGUAGUCAGAAGCGGAAGAAGCUUUCCAAAACGAGCCUUGAAACCCAAGGGAUCCAAUACAUAGGAUGUCAGAUUCCUUAACUCUUUCAGAUCGGGUUGUCUGAAGUUGUACUUCUUCGUAUGCCUUUUUUGUCUUUCCAUAUCUGAAAAU